This is a non-coding RNA of Gossypium hirsutum (cotton), 144 nucleotides long. NCBI's taxonomy places the organism in Eukaryota, Viridiplantae, Streptophyta, Magnoliopsida, Malvales, Malvaceae. The record is from Rfam.
UAUUAAAAUUUCAUCCAUUUUUCCUGUUAAAAACUAAUGUAGCUGACAAAUUAAUCGGACAGUUACAUGUAAUAUGUCACGUAUACCUCAUGUUGACGUACAUGGAUGAAUUUUUAACAGUAGAAAUGGAUGGAAUUUUUAACA